GGCGACCAUCGCUGCUGUAAAGCGCUGCGUUUACAUCGCAGAGGUCAGAGGUUCGAAUCCUCUACUGGUCCCC
Molecule: transfer RNA, 73 nt
Filed under: Rhizobium leguminosarum
Lineage: Bacteria; Pseudomonadati; Pseudomonadota; Alphaproteobacteria; Hyphomicrobiales; Rhizobiaceae
Also listed under: 1 other name
Description: tRNA-Val
Rfam family: tRNA
About the family: Transfer RNA (tRNA) molecules are approximately 80 nucleotides in length. Their secondary structure includes four short double-helical elements and three loops (D, anti-codon, and T loops).
Source: RNAcentral